Molecule: long non-coding RNA, 4361 nt
Filed under: Salmo salar (Atlantic salmon)
Lineage: Eukaryota; Metazoa; Chordata; Actinopteri; Salmoniformes; Salmonidae
Description: lncRNA (ENSSSAG00000103885.1)
Source: RNAcentral
CAGAUGUCAACAGUCUUUAGAACGUUGUUUCAUGCUUCUACUGUGAAUAGGGAGAGAACAAGAGCUCCUGGAAGUAGAUGACUGAGAAAAUGACAUGAGUUCAGUGGCGCACACUCACAUGAGUUAGCUAUGUUCCUUUUCUUUUUUGAAGACAUUGGAAUUGUCCGGUUGGAAUAUUACUGAAGAUUUAUGAUAAAAGCAUCCUAAAGAUUGAUGCUAUACAUCGUUUGACAUGUUUCUACGAACCUUUCAAAACAGCAUCAGACCAAACACUACUCACUCAGUUCCAGGUUGGUGUAACGGCUGUCUUCGUCGUCCUCAGAUGAAGGGGAAGAGAAAUCAGACCAAAAUGCAGCGUGGCUGCCAUGAGCUGGUUGCUGGCGGGCUAAUCCAGGGGCAGGCUGCUGACGGGCUGGUCCUGGGGCUGGCUGAGGGCCAAUCUCAUCCUCUUCCAAUUCACUGUCAGACUCCAAUUUGACAGAGACAUGAUCCUCAUAUUCGGAAAAUUCUUCAUCUUACAAAGUGGAAGACGAUCCUUCCACACUAACUUCUCUCUCUACAAAAAUUAUUUCUAAGUCCCUCUGAGCAGAGAUUAUUUUUGCCAUACUGAUUGAUUGUGGUAAGGAGCCACACAUGCAAAGCUAUUUAUUUGUGUCCCUCCCCCAAUUUGCACCUGGCUGUGUGUGGGAAAAUACAGCAUUUCUUACAAUGUAUUGUAAUAACAUUGUGCAGGUUCCCGCAAGACAUUGUGUAGUUUCACACAGUACAAAGGGUAAAGAGUGCGAGAAAAGCAAGAGACAGGCAGAGAGACAGACAGGAUAUUGGUGCUAUGUUGAAACAACAGGCCCAGGGAGGAGGAAGAAAGAGUGAAGGCACACAGCAAACCUUUUUGCUCAAUUUUGACAUGUUUUCACCUACACACACACUUUUCCACACUUUUAUUACCCUCGGGUCCAGUGGACCCGGACACCACAUAUGUAAUAUAAAUAUGUAGGGAGGUCCGGUGCACCAGAACACCACAUAUGUAAUAUAAAUAUGUAGGGGGGUCCAGUGGACCCGAACACCACAUAUGUAAUAUAAAUAUGUAGGGGGGUCCAGUGGACCAGAACACCAGAUAUGUAAUAUAAAUAUGUAGGGAGGUCCAGUGGACCAGAACACCACAUAUGUAAUAUAAAUAUGUAGGGGGGUCCAGUGGACCCGAACACCACAUAUGUAAUAUAAAUAUGUAGGGGGGGUCCAGUGGACCAGAACACCACAUAUGUAAUAUAAAUAUGUAGGGGGGUCCAGUGGACCAGAACACCACAUAUGUAAUAUAAAUAUGUAGGGAGGUCCAGUGGACCAGAACACCAGAUAUGUAAUAUAAAUAUGUAGGGAGGUCCAGUGGACCAGAACACCACAUAUGUAAUAUAAAUAUGUAGGGAGGUCCAGUGGACCAGAACACCACAUAUGUAAUAUAAAUAUGUAGGGAGGUCCAGUGGACCAGAACACCACAUAUGUAAUAUAAAUAUGUAGGGAGGUGCACAGUGUGCACUCAAUGAAAAUGUGUUAUUUGACAUGUUCUUCACAGAAAAUGAGCCAAGGCCAAUGAGUCUCAGGUUGAAAUAAUGAUUCAUUGUAUCAUUUUUCUUUGAGUAAACAUUGAAAAUGGGUCCCACAUACCCGACCACCACACAAGGGUUAAGAAUUGUACGUUUUUGCACCAACUUGCCAUGUGGCUCCGUUUUUGGAGGAUUGUGGGUAACAUUUUAACCUCUCUAGGGUAUGUGGGACGAAAUCGUCCCACCUACUCAACAGCCAGUGGAAUCCCGUGGCGCGAUAUUCAAAUACCUUAGAAAUGCUAUUACUUCAAUUUCUUAAACAUAUGACUAUUUUACACCAUUUUAAAGACAAGACUUUCGUUAAUCUAACCACACUGUCCGAUUUCAAAAAGGCUUUACAACGAAAGCAAAACAUUAGAUUAUGUCAGCAGAGUACCCAGCCAGAAAUAAUCAGACACCCAUUUUUCAAGCUAGCAUAUAAUGUCACAUAAACCCAAACCACAGCUAAAUGCAGCACUAACCUUUGAUGAUCUUCAUCAGAUGACACUCCUAGGACAUUAUGUUAUACAAUACAUGCAUGUUUUGUUCAAUCAAGUUCAUAUUUAUAUAAAAAACCAGCUUUUUACAUUAGCAUGUGACGUUCAGAACUAGCAUACCCACCGCAAACUUCCAGUGAAUUUACUAAAUUACUCACGAUAAACGUUCACAAAAAACAUAACAAUUAUUUUAAGAAUUAUAGAUACAGAACUCCUUUAUGCAAUCGCUAUGUCCGAUUUUAAAAUAGCUUUUUGGCAAAAGCACAUUUUGCAAUAUCUGAGUAGAUAGCUCGCCAUCACGGGCUAGCUAUUUUGACACCCACCCAGUUUGGCACUCACCAAACUCAGAUUUACUAUAAGAAAAAUUGGAUUACCUUUGCUGUUCUUCGUCAGAAUGCACUCCCAGGACUUCUACUUCAAUAACAAAUGUUGGUUUGGUUCAAAAUAAUCCAUAGUUAUGUUCAAAUAUCCUCUGUUUUGUUCAUGCGUUCAAGACACUAUCCGAAGGGUGACGCGCUCGGCGCGUAUCGUGACCAAAAAAUUCUAAAUAUUCCAUUACCAUACUUCGAAGCAUGUCAAACGCUGUUUAAAAUCAAUUUUUAUUCGAUUUUUCUCGUAAAAAAGCGAUAAUAUUCCGACCGGAAAACCCUGUUUUCGUUCAAAGACUAAAAUCUAAAAUGGACUCUUCACGUGCACGCGCGCCCCCGUCUCAUUGUUCUCAGAUCGACCACUUACCAAAUGCACUACUGUUUUUCAGCCAUGGCCUGCAAAGUCAUCAUUCAACGUUCUGGCGCCCUCUGAGAGCCUAUGGGAGCCGUAGGAAGUGUCACGUUACAGCAGAGAUCCUCAGUUUUCAAUAAAGAGAGUGUAGAAGGCCAAGAAAUGGUCAGAGAGGGCACUUCCUGUUUGGAAUCUUCUCAGGUUUUUUUCCUGCCAUAUGAGUUCUGUUAUACUCACAGACACCAUUCAAACAGUUUUAGAAACUUUAGGGUGUUUUCUAUCCAAAUCAAACUAUAAAUCAAAUUAUAUGCAUAUUCUAGUUUCUGGGCAGUAGUAAUAACCAGAUGAAAUCGGGUACGUUUUUUAUCCGGCCGUGCAAAUACUGCCCCCUACCCUAGAGAGGAAUGAUACCUUUACACAAUGUUGUAUGCAUGUUUGAAGAAAGAAAGUACAUUUCUAUGUUAGUAUGAAGUAGCUUGUUGUGCUAUGAGGUGUAAUGGAUCAGGAUGAACGGAUAUCAGAACUGUCAGGCAAACUGACAUUCACUGAUCUGACCACCCAUUCCCACCAUCAGCUAGUCCACAUGCAUCACCCUUAAUAUCAGAGGCAAAUGCAGCAUCCAACAAGGCUUGCAGCUCUACCUCCACUUACUGCAAGUGGAAUGAGCACUGUGUUCAACAAUGCCUGUUAAAGUGGGUUAAAAUGACUAAUAAUCAGAAACAUAAAAGAACGGUAAACAAAUGUAAAACUGAAAGUAAGAUUAAAGUAGAUCUGACGAAUAAAAACAGUUUUGGAAUUGAUAAAAUGAAGUUGGACAUAAGCCAUUUUUUUAUGCUGGACUUAAUAUAUGAGUGUUUGUGAAACAGCAAAAGUUAAGUAGGUAUACCGUAUAUUAUACAUAAGAAUACCUCAUUUUUGAAAUACUCAAAAAGCUGAUGCAAAUAGUUGUUAUAUUUUAAAAGUAGAACUAGCACAAUAUUUUGUACAAUGUAUGUGCACGUUUUUAUCCAAAUUCGUGUGUACGUUAGCGUGUUGUCACGUCCUGACCAGUAUAAGGUUAAUUGGUAUUGUAGUUUGGUCAGGACGUGGCAGAGGGUAUUCGUUUUAUGUGGUUCGGGGUGGUGUGUUUUGUUGAAGGGGCAUUUGGUUUAAGUAUUCCGGGGUUUUUGGGCACUGUUUGGUUUUCAGGUAUUCUAUGAUUUUGUCUAGUAUGUCUGUUUCUAUGUUUGGUUAAUUGGGGUUGGGACUCUCAGUUGAAGGCAGGUGUUGUCUAUCUGCCUUGGAUUGAGAGUCCCAUAUAUGAGGGUGUGUUUGUUAUUUGUGGGUGAUUGUUCUGUGUUGAGCGUUAUGCUUUGCCAGACUGUUUGUUGUUCGUUAGUUCUUUGUUAUUUUGGUGUUCAUUUUGUAUUUAUUAAAAAGCAAGAUGAUCAUACACAUACCUGCUGCGUUUUGGUCCUCCAUUUCCAACGACAAGUGUGACGCAUGUGAGCUUGCAUGUUCAUGUGUACGAGUGUGUAUAUUUAUUUGUGUGUGUGUGUGUGAGGGGGAGGCAGUAGGUUCAUCCUGU